AAGGAUCAUUACCGAGUGAGGGCCCUCUGGGUCCAACCUCCCACCCGUGUUUAUUUUACCUUGUUGCUUCGGCGGGCCCGCCUUAACUGGCCGCCGGGGGGCUUACGCCCCCGGGCCCGCGCCCGCCGAAGACACCCUCGAACUCUGUCUGAAGAUUGUAGUCUGAGUGAAAAUAUAAAUUAUUUAAAACUUUCAACAACGGAUCUCUUGGUUCCGGCAUCGAUGAAGAACGCAGCGAAAUGCGAUACGUAAUGUGAAUUGCAAAUUCAGUGAAUCAUCGAGUCUUUGAACGCACAUUGCGCCCCCUGGUAUUCCGGGGGGCAUGCCUGUCCGAGCGUCAUUGCUGCCCUCAAGCACGGCUUGUGUGUUGGGCCCCGUCCUCCGAUCCCGGGGGACGGGCCCGAAAGGCAGCGGCGGCACCGCGUCCGGUCCUCGAGCGUAUGGGGCUUUGUCACCCGCUCUGUAGGCCCGGCCGGCGCUUGCCGAUCAACCCAA
Molecule: ribosomal RNA, 495 nt
Filed under: Penicillium granulatum
Lineage: Eukaryota; Fungi; Ascomycota; Eurotiomycetes; Eurotiales; Aspergillaceae
Description: eukaryotic LSU rRNA
Rfam family: 5.8S ribosomal RNA (bases 188-340)
Source: RNAcentral